This 1295-nucleotide long non-coding RNA is filed under the name Homo sapiens (human). Its description in RNAcentral is "HSALNT0010425". The record is from RNAcentral. Lineage: Eukaryota; Metazoa; Chordata; Mammalia; Primates; Hominidae.
AGAAUUUGAAAUAUCACCCAACCUCUGGUCAUUUUAUCAAUUUUUCCUUUGAUAUCUCCCUGCCUGAACUCAACAAUGCCUUCUAAAACCCAGAAGUGGUUAUCAGUAAACAAUAGCAAGCUUCAGAAGCAGCCCUUUAGUUCUGUCUCAAAGAGCAGGAAAGAGCUCCUAAUUAUCAGAAAGAGUGCAGAAAUUUCCUUUUUUUCUCCCUUUUCCUCCUGCUCUCUCACCCCUCAGCCCUCAAGCAAUCUCAUGGCAGCUGCUGUAGAAACUGCAGUGAGAGUUCACAGGGGCCAAAACUCUGAGAGUGGAGAGCCUUCCCCUCUGACUUGUAACUGAAGAAGCCAUCAACCAAGAAAUUUCCAACAGACCCAGAUGGAAAAAGUCCCAGUGAAAGCCUGUUCUUUAGCCAAAGGGGCCAGAAAAGAGCAAGAUAGCAGGACAAGUGUCAUUGAGGAGAAUUUGCCUAGGAGAUGCAAAGAGAGAGAAGCCUAUACUUUGAGGGUGGAAGCCCCUCCAACAGAUCUCUGCCAUCAUGUGAGAGAGAGCCUGAGUUAGCCUGCUGGAUGGUCAAAGAUGAGUGGUGCAGCUAAGUGAAAGCCUGCUGACUUGUAGACAUAUGAGUAAGGCCAUGCUUGAUCACCUGGCUGCCAGCUGGCCUGCCAACUAAUUGCAGGUACUUGAAAGAGUCCAGCAGAGAUCAGCCACCCCAGGUCAAAUAAACACCCAGCCCCCUCCCUGAGAAUGAUGAACUAAAUAAAUGUCUUAAGUACUAAGUUUUGGGUGUUUGCUACAUAGCAAAAGCUAAUUGAUACUGUUCCCAAGGAGUGGAAAACUUCUGUAACAAAAAACAAAAAAUUCUGGCAUUGGUUUUGGGAUUGGGCAAUGGGUAGAGGCUAGAAAAAUGGCAAGGAAGCUGCCAUAGCAACCUAGAAAAAUGGCAACCCAUGCUAUAAAAUAGGGCAAUUGGUCAAUAAUUUUUGAAGUGGUUUGUUAUGCAGCAAUAGCCUACUGAUACACCAUGUGAAUUAUAGCAAGGAAUAGCUAAGGCAAAACAAAACAUUGGAUGAGUAGCAUAGUUCAUUCUAAAGAACCACUAAGGCUUGCUCAGGAAUAUGUACUAAUUCAGGUGGCAUCUGUUAACUAUCACUGAGCAUAAUAUUGGAGGAUAAAUCUGCUUUGCUUAUUGCCACCCCCGUAGCUUAGAAGCUACUCCUAAAACAGCAAGGAUGUCACUGUGGCAGUGGGCAAGGAUUAAUUCCCUCAUUUAUUUAUUCAUUUAUUAAUUCAACAAA